GACGAACGCUGGCGGCGUGCUUAACACAUGCAAGUCGAACGGAAAGGCCCUGCUUUUGCGGGGUGCUCGAGUGGCGAACGGGUGAGUAACACGUGAGUAACCUGCCCUUGACUUUGGGAUAACUUCAGGAAACUGGGGCUAAUACCGGAUAGGAGCUCCUGCUGCAUGGUGGGGGUUGGAAAGUUUCGGCGGUUGGGGAUGGACUCGCGGCUUAUCAGCUUGUUGGUGGGGUAGUGGCUUACCAAGGCUUUGACGGGUAGCCGGCCUGAGAGGGUGACCGGCCACAUUGGGACUGAGAUACGGCCCAGACUGCUACGGGAGGCAGCAGUGGGGAAUAUUGCACAAUGGGCGGAAGCCUGAUGCAGCAACGCCGCGUGCGGGAUGACGGCCUUCGGGUUGUAAACCGCUUUCGCCUGUGACGAAGCGUGAGUGACGGUAAUGGGUAAAGAAGCACCGGCUAACUACGUG
This 468-nucleotide ribosomal RNA is filed under the name uncultured bacterium. Its description in RNAcentral is "partial 16S ribosomal RNA". It matches the Rfam family "Bacterial small subunit ribosomal RNA", at positions 28 to 507 of the family's 1533-position model. The record is from RNAcentral.